Molecule: transfer RNA, 83 nt
Filed under: Oceanobacillus picturae
Lineage: Bacteria; Bacillati; Bacillota; Bacilli; Caryophanales; Bacillaceae
Also listed under: 1 other name
Description: tRNA-Leu
Rfam family: tRNA
About the family: Transfer RNA (tRNA) molecules are approximately 80 nucleotides in length. Their secondary structure includes four short double-helical elements and three loops (D, anti-codon, and T loops).
Source: RNAcentral
GCCGAAGUGGUGGAAUUGGUAUACACGCAGCACUCAAAAUGCUGUGCUCUCUGAGCAUGUGGGUUCGACUCCCACCUUCGGUA